GGUAUUUUGACCGUGCAAAGGUAGCAUAAUCAUUAGUUUUUUAAUUGAAAGCUGGAAUGAAAGGUUGGAUGAAAAAUAAGCUGUCUCUAUUUAAUUUUAUUAGAAUUUUAUUUUUAAGUUAAAAAGCUUAAAUUUAAAUAGAAGACGAGAAGACCCUAUAGAGUUUAAUUUAUUUUUAAAAUAAGAUUAUUGGUAUUUAUUAUUUUUAUUAUAAUAAUGAAUUUAGUUGGGGUGAUUGAAAAAUUUAAUAAACUUUUUUUAUAUAUAAACAUUAAUUUAUGAUUUAUUGAUCCUUUUUUUAAGAUUAAAAGAUAAAAUUACCUUAGGGAUAACAGCGUAAUUUUUUUUAAGAGUUCAAAUCGAAAAAAAAGAUUGCGACCUCGAUGUUGGAUUAAAAUAAAAUUUUGGUGUAGAAGCUAAAA
RNAcentral lists this ribosomal RNA (422 nucleotides) under Laparocerus anniversarius. RNAcentral describes it as "partial 16S ribosomal RNA". The record is from RNAcentral. Lineage: Eukaryota; Metazoa; Arthropoda; Insecta; Coleoptera; Curculionidae.